GUAGGGAAUCUGCCACAAUGGGCGCAAGCCUGAUGGAGCAACACCGCGUGAGUGAAGAAGGGUUUCGGCUCGUAAAGCUCUGUUGUUAAAGAAGAACACGUAUGAGAGUAACUGUUCAUUCGUUGACGGUAUUUAACCAGAAAGUCACGGCUAACUACGUGCCAGCAGCCGCGGUAAUACGUAGGUGGCAAGCGUUAUCCGGAUUUAUUGGGCGUAAAGAGAGUGCAGGCGGUUUUCUAAGUCUGAUGUGAAAGCCUUCGGCUUAACCGGAGAAGUGCAUCGGAAACUGGAUAACUAGAGUGCAGAAGAUGGUAGUACAACUCCAUGUGUAGCGGUGGAAUGCGUAGAUAUAUGGGAGAACACCAGUGGCGAAGGCGGCUACCUGGUCUGCAACUGACACUGAGGUGCGAAAGCGUGGGGAGCAAACAGGAUGAGAAACCCGAGUAGUCC
RNAcentral lists this ribosomal RNA (450 nucleotides) under uncultured bacterium. Its description in RNAcentral is "partial 16S ribosomal RNA". It matches the Rfam family "Bacterial small subunit ribosomal RNA", at positions 354 to 796 of the family's 1533-position model. The record is from RNAcentral.